CCCUCAAAUUUCAGACCCAUCACAUAUGUAAGUUUAAUUUGACUUCCAAGUACAAAAGGUGGCGAUAAUGCUCUUAAGGAUUUAUUAGCCAACAAACAAGAAGAAGGUGUUACAUCCGGGACAUUGCGCGCCUAAACGGGCUGAAACUUUUCUCACAGUCGCCAUUUUCUUUGACCCGCGAAUCGCGAUGCGGAGCAAACGAGGACGGAAAAUACAGAGAUUAAGUGUAUGUAAUGUUAUUCACACAGUAUUAAUUUUAUAACAUCGCAUUGUUUUAGAACGAAAUUUAUGUGUGUGUGUGCGGGUCGCGGUGCGGAGCUGACGAGGAGGUUGCUUUUUUUACAGGAAAACGCUGAAAGUAAGUGUUAUACCUAAUUUACAAUGCUUUUUAUAACAUCAUAUUGACAAAUCAAACCAUUGUAAACUCCCCAAAUUAAAAAUGGUAAUAUAAGUCAUUGGUUCUUGCAUGUCUCGUGACCAAAUAUCAUAUCAUAUCAUUAAGCUUGUACAUUGAGUUAUUUUGAUGUGUCGAUUUACUGGGUUUGAGUGCUAUUUUCGAAUAUUCAUUUGAAAUAACUCUUUUCAGUAUACUCAAACUUAAUAUAUUGAGUGAGUAAUUUUUUUUUUAAGUGAUUUUGUCACUUCACAAGAUAUGACACAUGACUUACAUUUUAACAAGUUUUUGUGGGUGCUUUAAGAAUGUGUUUUGUGUUCAUCAAAAGUGAGUUUUAUGGGUUUGGAAUGACAUUUUUGAGUAAAUUAUUCCUCUAAAGCCCUAAACACACCGCACGAUUUUCGGCUGGCAUCGUGAAACAAUCGUGGCGAUUUCUGUCUGGGACAGCCGAAAUCAUGCAGUGUGUUUAGGGCUUAAGGUUGUUACAGAUGGUUCAUGCUGGAAUAACUGAAAAAUCAAAAAUAAAUGUUUGAGUAUAAAAUCAUCAGUAUAUUGUCAAGUUGGAUGAAAAGAGCUCUUGUUAACAUUUUUAGGACACGUAACAUUUCCAUAUUGAAGAUUAUUGAUUGUCAUGCAUAACUUUUUGAUCAUUAAUAUUUGUUAUUUGCCUUAUAAUAAUUAGAAGUCUGGACUCUUUCUAGUAGGGCUGUCCUCGACUAAAGAUUUUCUAAAGACUUUUUUUUUUUUUUUUUUUUUUUUUACAUUUUAUUAGCCCCCAUUUCUAACAAUUUAACUAUCCCAAUAGGUUGAUGCUGGAGAAAAUUAACAAAGCAUCAGGGAACAUCUGCGUGUAAUGAAGGAGGAAACAGAGAAGCUUAGACCAAACGUAGAGCUCCUCAAAGAAAGGAUGGUGCUGAUAAAAUGCUAUCGAACUAAUUUUGUGUCCAAAUAUAGCACAGAGGAGACUGUCUCUGAGUUCUUGUGUUUCAUAUUGGCCAAAAUGCUCAGUACAGUAGUGUGUUAAUUUCCUCCUUAUUUAAUUGUAGGAGUUAUAACUAUAUUUUAAUACAUGUCUUUCCUCCUUUGCCUUCCUCUUAACAUAAGCUCCUUUCGGAUCUGUGAGACCACGCCGAUGUUGAUGCGGGCCAACAAAUUCUCACACAGCUCUCUGUAAUGACAUCCCAAGUCCUUCUAGUUUCACGGAGUCCCCUGAAGGAGAAAUUCAGAUGCAUGAUUAUGACUGAAGAUGGCAGACUGAAAAAAGGCCUACAGUUGGAAGCAGCUAUUCUGCUCUUGCCUGCUCUGUUCAAGGAGGACCCGGGGUUGCUGUUUGAAGUUGAGGGCCAUUCUCAGACCAGUCCAUCCCAACACCUAAGAUGAAGCUUAAACGCUGUAGGGAGGGUCAUCGUGCAGUAUGACCACAUUGUGCUCACGUUGGAUGGACAGUUAAUCACAGAGGAGAGCGAGGACAUCUCAACGGCACUGGGACUCCUCCUGUACCAGUGGUUCUCAAUUCCAGUCCUGGCGACCUGCCCCCACAUGUUGUAUAUGUCUCACUUAUUUAAUACACCUGAUUCAGAUCAUGAGCUCGUUAGAAAAGAGCUCCAUGAAUGAACUGUGCUCUGACUGACAUGGUCCCUACACAGUGUCCCUACGCGGAAGAUUCAUUCACAGAUGUACACUACUUCCUGUCACUGUAAGUCAAUAUUCUCCAUUUCUGGGCCUCUUCCAGGUCUAGUUGCAAUUUCUAUUGUUUUUUAAAUCCUGAAGGACUUACAAAAAUGUUAGUA
This is a long non-coding RNA of Onychostoma macrolepis, 2184 nucleotides long. RefSeq lists it as uncharacterized. The transcript is spliced from 3 exons. The record is from RefSeq and is a predicted model, not a curated record. NCBI's taxonomy places the organism in Eukaryota, Metazoa, Chordata, Actinopteri, Cypriniformes, Cyprinidae.